GAGAGCCUGGCUAGGCAGGCUGGAAACAGUAGCUCUUAACGGUCCCCCGCCCGUUGGUGGCAAGGCGGCUGGACUGGAAUCCCAGCAGGCGACAUGCGAGGAGGCGGGCAGCCCAGGAGGGUUGGACACGGCAAUGUGGACCUCGCCGCUUCCACAACGAUGCUGGCUACUGAUCGCGUGCACUUCCUUGCCAAAGAAAAGAAAUUAAUGUUAUGACUGGAUGAAGACAAUUGUGAAGAAACUGCACUUUGAGGUUGUCUAUCUCUGUAUUCUGAUGGAAAAGCGUGGAGUUUAGAAGCACUGCUCACUCCUUCAGUUUCUAACAAGUUUGAGACUAUGGUUAGGUGGUGAGGAAGGCAGGCUCAGCACCCAAGCCUUGGGGAGACGCAGAAAGGGCCCAUCCCAGGCACUCAGGUGGAGAAAUUCACUGGUAUAGGUUUCCCUCAAAACACUGCUUUCACCAGUUUCCGUGGUCUGUCCUAGAGAACGUUCCAUGUGGAUUUGAGAAGAAUAUAUAUUCUCAUGUUGGAUGCAGUGCUGUGCAUAUGUUUGUUAGGUUUAGUUGUUUUAUGUUGUUGUUCAUGUUUUCUAUUUUUUAUCUUCUGUCUACUUGUUCUAUCCAUUAAUAUAAGUGAAGCAUUAAAGUCUCCAACUAUUACUGUUGAA
Molecule: long non-coding RNA, 666 nt
Filed under: Homo sapiens (human)
Lineage: Eukaryota; Metazoa; Chordata; Mammalia; Primates; Hominidae
Description: long independently transcribed non-coding RNA 2848, transcript variant 4 (LINC02848)
Source: RNAcentral